CCCUCUCUCUCAUUCAAUGCCAAUCUCCUCUUAUUUUGUGUGACAAAAGCCCUCUCCCAGGUCUCUCCCACGUUCACAAAAGGUUUUCUCUCUUCUUUCUUACAUGGAAGGUGGUUUGGAUCAAAUCAAAGAGGAAUUAGUUUGGAUUUUGAAUUCUAUGAGAUAGAGUUUUAGAAAUCCAAAACUCUUUCAAUUUUGCACCAAAUUUAUCCAAAGUUUUUUUAGAAUUUUCAUGGCUUUUAGGGUA
RNAcentral lists this long non-coding RNA (247 nucleotides) under Elaeis guineensis (African oil palm). RNAcentral's name for it is "long non-coding RNA (EGUI_LNC057748)". Lineage: Eukaryota; Viridiplantae; Streptophyta; Magnoliopsida; Arecales; Arecaceae. The record is from RNAcentral.